UCGUGAAGCAUGUGUGGAGGUUCACUAAUCCAUUUUAUGCUUGAAAAACUCCUUUAUUCCUUUUAUUCUUUUAGUUUGUUGUAUCCGUGCUGUGUCGGUCUAGUACUUCUUGUUUGUAAAGAGAAUAUGCCCCCGUGCAGUUGGCAUUUUGAUUAUUCCUUCAUGUAAACAAAAAUUAAAGAUUGGGGUGUUACAAUGAUAGAUUAAACCCCAUUCUAUUUAAUUGUGUGCACUCAUCCAGGGCCACAUGCCCCCCUCCUCCAAUUGCCAUUUAUGAACAUACCAUUUACCCUCUCUUUCUCCACACCAUCUUUCUUAC
This 319-nucleotide long non-coding RNA is filed under the name Setaria viridis. Its description in RNAcentral is "long non-coding RNA (SVIR_LNC007382)". Lineage: Eukaryota; Viridiplantae; Streptophyta; Magnoliopsida; Poales; Poaceae. The record is from RNAcentral.